CUGCGAGCUGCAUAAGCGUCCGAGAGGGUGGGAGUCGACGCCCAGGAGAUCAGCUACGAGGUACCCGGGUUGCCAGGUGGCUGGCGCUCGCCAAGGUGGCCAACACAGGAUCAGUGAACGAGUACCAGGUCCAUGAACAAGACAUCGACAUGCUCCAUGUAACACAUGAUCAAACUAUAGGAAGGCUCUGCGAUGAUCUACCCGACCGAGCAAAAUCCACAUUAUCUGAAUAUUCACUUGGACUGCUCAAUUUAUAUGCCUUGUUAUCAUGUUGCACGGGAUCACUAAAUGUUUGAAGGAGUGCUUUCUCAGACAGUUUGUUUGUUUGUCCUUAAAUGAUGUACUGGGUCAAAUGUUCUGCCAGGGAAUGAGGAUAGUGUAUCUGAGAACAAAAACGAUGGUGAAUAUGUGCGGAAAUACGAAGACAAGGAUGGAGAUUGGAUGCUGGUUGCUGAAGUCCCAUGGGAGUAAUUACACUGUCUGGUGUACUCAAAAAAAUCCCUAACGAAGGGAGUAAUUGCUAAAAACAAGUAUAGAAAGGAGAACUUUAGAAGAUUGUUUGGAUUCUAUAGUAAACCUGUAAUGAAUGAUCAAUUAUAAGAGUGUGCCAAUUUUUUUAUUGUAA
This is a long non-coding RNA of Lolium rigidum, 625 nucleotides long. RefSeq lists it as uncharacterized. NCBI's taxonomy places the organism in Eukaryota, Viridiplantae, Streptophyta, Magnoliopsida, Poales, Poaceae. The transcript has 2 exons. The record is from RefSeq and is a predicted model, not a curated record.